GGAUACCAGGAUGGUGUCCCAAGUCAGGCUCCCUGCUCAGCAGGAAGCCUGCUUCUCCCUCUCCCUCUGCUUGUGUUCCCUCUCUUGCUGUGUCUCUGUCAAAUAAAUAAAAUCUUAAAAAAAAAAAAAAAAGUUCUAGAUCUGGGGGGAAAAAAAAAAGGAUGUGCAAGUAGCUACACUCCCCUGCUAGAAUGCCCAAGCAAGCUCUUAAGGUCCAUUUAUAGGAGAAUAUAGGGCAGUCAAGAUUCCAAGACUUCAGACACAUCCAAACGAGGUGCUGCAUGUGGCAGCCUUCCUUUCUUU
Molecule: small RNA, 303 nt
Filed under: Ursus americanus (American black bear)
Lineage: Eukaryota; Metazoa; Chordata; Mammalia; Carnivora; Ursidae
Description: 7SK RNA (ENSUAMG00000013472.1)
Rfam family: 7SK RNA (bases 158-303)
Source: RNAcentral